Long non-coding RNA from Pezoporus occidentalis (night parrot), 1170 nucleotides. RefSeq lists it as uncharacterized. Lineage: Eukaryota; Metazoa; Chordata; Aves; Psittaciformes; Psittacidae. The record is from RefSeq and is a predicted model, not a curated record. The transcript is spliced from 3 exons.
CCAUCUGUCUCAUCAAAAUAUUCGACUUCCUUUUCUUCUUUCUCUUCUUCAGUUCCUUGGACAACAUCCUCAGGACUUACUGCCCUCUUGUCCUUCCCCACAGGGUGGAAGCAGCUUGGCAUUGCCUGAGCCAUCAGGGUGUAUCUAGCUAUGGAGCCCAGCAGAGCCCCUCUGACAGCUGGAAGAGGAUGACCGGUCCUUUCCUGCAAAUGUAAAGAUCCUGUCUGGCAGAAGGGAAAUGAGAAGGCGGAAGUACAACAGGGAUGUGCUAGGAGAGCUCUGGUGAACGGGAUUUCCACCAAAUGGCUUUGCUCCUGCUAUGAGCCAUGAUCUCCCAUAGCUGGGUCUUCUUCUUCCUCUGAAACUCAACUACCUGUCAAAGCAAGACUGUAGCGACACCAAGGGCUCUGCACAAAAUUCUUCUGUUUGCUUCUGCAUUUGAUUAGCUGCCUGCAUUUUGUGUUUUAAUUUCCUGCCAUUGAAGCACAUUGCUGUCAUGGUGAUAGAUGCUAUAGAAAUGAGUAAAAUAAAUAAAUAAGAGUUCAGAACACUUUUGACCAAGUCUACGCUAAUUAGUGCACAAGACAGACAAGUGUUUUCUGGGAUUUCUGUCAACCAUAUCCCGAUUCCUCCCCUGCUUCUCAGAUAUCAGUGAAACCCUUUCUAGAAAUGGAAAUAGAGGCAGCAAAUGGUGCUGGGAAUACUCCAAGUAAGAUGUCUCCAUUCAGAGCCAGAUAUUAGUAGCAAACCAUCCACUUAACAACCACUGUGAAGCAGAGAAUAUUUAAUGUGAUGGUAGUAAAAAAGCAAAGAAGGCAAUAUUGUGAAACGGCUGGUGAAGGGCUACCCAGAAACCAUUCAGAGCUUGCGUGAGUGGGAUGCUCCACCUGUGAUGAGAGAAGCUGAUCUAGCAGCAAUAGAGAGAAGUAGGAGGGGAAGGAAAAGGGGGCUAUCUAUCACACUGGACAGGGCAGAAAGAUGGGAGGACCAAGAUUAAUCUUGUUAACGUAGCUGCUAACAGCAAAACAAAUGCUGUGGUAGCAUUCAUCUCUACUUCUGGUCUUCUUUAAAGAAAUUAAAAUAGCAAUAACUGUAAUGAGCACAGGGUUCAACAACAACAAAAUCGUUGAGUUUUGCAGGUGUAAAACAAAGACUGUACUUUCAAAGAGA